This 253-nucleotide ribosomal RNA is filed under the name uncultured Bacteroidota bacterium. RNAcentral's name for it is "uncultured Bacteroidetes bacterium partial 16S ribosomal RNA". It matches the Rfam family "Bacterial small subunit ribosomal RNA", at positions 524 to 776 of the family's 1533-position model. The record is from RNAcentral. Lineage: Bacteria; Pseudomonadati; Bacteroidota.
UACGGAGGGUGCAAGCGUUAUCCGGAUUCACUGGGUUUAAAGGGUGCGUAGGCGGGCUUGUAAGUCAGUGGUGAAAGCCCGGGGCUCAACUCCGGAACUGCCGUUGAUACUGCAAGUCUUGAGUACGGUUGAGGUGGGCGGAAUACAUCAUGUAGAGGUGAAAUUCUUAGAUAUGAUGUAGAACACCGAUUGCGAAGGCAGCUCACUAAAGCGUAACUGACGCUGAGGCACGAAAGCGUGGGGAUCAAACAGG